RNAcentral lists this long non-coding RNA (7274 nucleotides) under Lactuca sativa (garden lettuce). RNAcentral's name for it is "long non-coding RNA (LSAT_LNC010151)". The record is from RNAcentral. Lineage: Eukaryota; Viridiplantae; Streptophyta; Magnoliopsida; Asterales; Asteraceae.
AGACACUUAUGGUUAUUAAUAUAUUAUAAGUUCUAGUAUAUUAAUAAUAAGAAUGAUAAGAUUAUUUAAUUAGUAUUGAUCAAGAAUUAAUCUAGGAUUAAUUAAGUGAUUAAAAGAAGACUAAUUAAAUAUAUGGAUUGAUUGUGUAAAUCAUCCAUACUUGUAUAGUGGACUAAUGCUCCAUGGAUAAUCAAGUUGGGCUAAAAACCUAUAGGAUGGUCCAUGGAUGCUCCAUGGUGUAUUUGAACCCAUGGAUCCAAGGAAAUGGAAAGUCAUGACAAUUAGGGUUUGCCCUAAUUGUAACACUAUAUAAAGAUCUUAUUCUUGACAAAAUUGGCAACUAGAAUCACACUAGUGUGUGAAGUGAAAGGGCUAGCCGAUUUUGAUGAGUGUAGAAUUCUCUCAAGUCAUUCCAAGUGUUUUGAUGAUUGUGAUUCCAUUUGAGGUGUCACACUUGGGGCACUAGGCACUCAAGCUUCAUGAAGACUUUUUUCUACAUCAAGAGGUAUGUAUUCUAUCUUGUUACAUUAAUUGUUUUGUAUGCUAGAUUAGGAUAAUACCUUGGAAGUUCUUAUUUGCAUGUAUAAUAGAGAAAACAUAGAUCCAAGGUAUUUAGGGUUGCAUGUACACUUAGGAGUGUUAGAAUGCUCAAAACCCAACAGUGGUAUCAGAGCCUAGGCUUGUUUUCUUGUUAUACCUGCAAUAGAAGCUGAAAAAACGAAUCUGGUGCUGUCUGGCCAUCAGACUCGGCGAGUCCAUCAGGAGACUCGACGAGUCCAUGCCUAAAAAGUGAUGAAUUCGAUCCAACUCGCCGAGUUUGUUCAUGCACUCGACGAGUUGGACCCCCAGACAGCAUAUUUUCGAGUUUUUUGGCUAGAAAUGGACUAGGAACAUUACCCUAAGUUGUUUUUGAACUUAUAAACUUGUUUUUGAUGUGGUAAUGUUCAUGCUAAUCCAUUUUCAAAGAUAAUUGUCAAUAGAUUCAUGUUUUGUAUUAGUUUAAGGUUUAGACUAAUUACAUGAAAAAGUUUGAUUUGAAUUAUCUUGUUCUUAUGAGUUGCUUAGAUUAAUAGAAAUGUUGAGUGAAAUAGUUGUUUUCAAUCCAUUUUAAUCUAAGAGUUGAGUAUAAAAUGUGUUUGUGUAACUUGUCCUCAAGUUACAUGAAGAGUCACAUUAAAGACUCAUAAAACUCAUAAUAGUUGGCAAUGGUUACAAAAUGAAGAGUCUUGUGUCAUUGAAUAAUUUUUUUUGACUCCAUAACUUGUCCUCAAGUUAUGGAAGUUCAAGAGUCACUUCAUUAAAGAAAAAUAUGUAACCAUAAUUAAAUCCAUAAGUUAUAAAAUAAAGAAAAAGUUAGUUCUUUUAUUAGUUUAAAGUCUUCCAUAACUUGUCCUCAAGUUAUGGAACUUGAAGAGUUUUUGGAUUAAAACUACUUUAAACACAUAAGUUAUGGAAUUAAUUAGUUUUGAAUAGUUUCAAAACUUGCCCUCAAGUUUUGGAAUUUGAAAAGUUUUCAAGUAUGAAUACUUUAAUUCCAAGUUAGCCCUUAGAAUUUUAAAAGUUAAAAUUCAACCCUUAUACUUUAUAAUAUUAUAAGUUAAUAAUAUAUAUAUGUAUAAGAGUAAAGUCAGUCUUACCGCUAGUACGCCUCAUUCACGAAGCCGGUCUAUAAGGUGGGUAUAAGGUUGUUGCCUAUAAAAUGGCAACUUAAUGGGUGUCCACUCUCACCCACCGCUUGCUUGACUGGUGGAGGGUCGUUAGCCGAACGGGUUUGACAGGACUAGAAUUCUCCCUUCAUUAAAAGUAUUAAUGAUAAUACUAAGUAACUAAACUCUUAAUAAUACCCAAUCUUAGUUACUUAGGAAAAAUGUGAAUAAGGUGCUAAUCCAUGAAAUUACACUUUACACUUUGUCUAAGUCGUUAGUGGAGCGUGUGUGGUUAACCGGCACACUAACUUGGACUUAACAAGGUAGGUAAAGGGUGACUUAAUAUUUAUCAUAGUAUCGAUGGAGCGUGUGUGGUUAACCGGCACAUCGAUUGAGGGGUAAUUUAUUAAGGGUACCAAGUGAUUUGCAUGGUUACUUCACACCUUGUUUUGUGAUCCUCGGCAUCCCAGUCACAAAACCUGAAGGGCACACUCGAGAUUGAAACAUGCCUUUGAAAAGUUCAAUGAAUCUCAAAGAUCUAGGAGUUUCAAAACCAAUUAAAACCUAAUAAUACAUUUCGUUUAUCUUGGUGGAAAUUGGUGAAUCGUCAUUCACCUACCUUCAAAUAUUUUAUAGCUUGGAUUACGGCAUACCUCUUCUAAGUUAUAAAAUAGUUUGUUGGGUCCUAGCCUUAAUAUUUCAUAUUGGGUGUCAUAUUAAGGACUUUAAAUCAACUAUCUUGAAUAUCUCCCAAAAGAUGUCUGGUUUAGACACCUAUGAUCUUCCCAAAUCUCUUGAAACAAGGUUUCCUAAUGAAGAUGAUGUCCCAUGGAUAUCAUACUUCUUCACCUCUUCAAAUUAUUCUCCCUAACCCACAAGUUCUUGAAAAGUUUAAGGUCACUCAGGCCCUAUUAGCAAGGCAAGGUCUAGGUGUGGUCACAUCUUGGAGAUGUAGUCACAUAUUGACAAGCCGGGAGAGUUGGGUGUCAAAGUCUUGAGAAAGUUGGUGGUUCAACCACUUUCUAAGUCACAUAGUGAGUUCCUUUGGGACACCUAUGAAACAGACUAUGACAAGACCCUUAAUGAUCUUAUCUAUUUGCUAAGAUCAACUUCCUAAAACUUUAUGGACAUUGACAAUGAUGACAUUGGAUAUCCAGUAAAGCAUUCUCUUCCCAAUGGAAAGGGAUCGGCCAUAGUCAACUCGGUUGACCAAAUGGUAAAGAGAAAAGCUAAGUCUGUGAUAGUCCCGUGUACCAUUAUCAAAGGGUCCAUAUGUUUAUAUUGCCAAAGGAAGGGGCAUUGGUUGCGAAGCUGCCAAAUUUACCUAAGGAUGUUAAAGUCAAUAAGUUUGACUCUACUUCAGGUAAAGUCCACUAUCUAACUCUGUUAAGUUUCUAUUCUGAGAUUCUUGAUACAUGAUGUGACUGGGUCACAUGGUGAUGUUUUAAGAAUCAAAGAAAAGUGAAGAAACUUAAAGAAAGAAUAUGCUGAAUCUGAUGGCGUAGAUGGAUUUCUAUCGCAUAGUUUGAAGAUCGGAUUCUUGAGCUACUUCUUAGGAGUUAUGAGAUAUUGCUUAGGAAUAGAUAACAACAAGUUUUCAUAUGGAUUGUAAGGAUAAGUUUUUCCGCAAAGUUUUAAAAUAAAAGAAAAUUUUUUUGAUUUUAUUUAUUUUAAAAUAUCCUUACAAUGGCUUUUGAGGAAAAAUUGUUGCUUAUAUGAUUCCAUUAAGAGCAAGAGUGGAAAUAUGAAAUUGAUUCUUUCAUUUGUGGUAAUGUCUAGAUUUACCAAAUAAGGAAAGAUUCUCAUCACCCAAGUUUCAAUUGGACCGGAACUUGGAAUCAUGCAAGUUGUAUAGCAUGAUGAAUGAGAACUUUCAAGUUUUGGAAAAUUAAGACUAAUUACUUGUUCACAUGGAUGUGUGAGUCAAGUAAAGGACUAAGGGAUCGAGUACACAUUCUUGUGCACUGAUUAAGUCCACCACUAAAGAUCGAUAAGAAGAAUCAAAUAAGGCAGAAGGAUAAAAGUUUCUCAAAUCUGAAAAGAUGGGAGAGUACUUUAGUAUCAGUUUUGUGAUCAUCUUAAUGAUUAAGAAACCAUAUCAAAAUUAGUUCUCUAAGGAAAUCUUAGUGCAUUCUUAUGACUAAGAAGAGGAACUUGAAUUGUUGAAAUGGUUAAAUCAAGAAGAUGAGUCAUACUUCGUUCCAAUACAAGUCUUAGAGUCAUACUCCAAGAUUGUCAUUUGAGUGACAUGUCUUAAAGAAGGUUUAAAACACUUGUCAAAUGUAAGAGUAAAAGUUUUCUACUCUUGUACAUUUGAAAUUGGUAAGUUGUGAUGUUUUGGAUAAAACAAAGACCAACUUAGGCCAAUUGGGUAAAGUGUUUUUCUUGAUUAGAAUCCGCACUAUCUCUUGGAUGUUUGACAAGGGAGUCUUAUAUGUCAAGAGGACAGUGGGAGUCUUAAAGGUCUUGAAAGUCUCAAGAAAUAAUCAAGAAUAAAACCUAAAGUUCUUCACUAGCACACGACUUGAGGUUUAUAACCUAUCGUGUUGACAUAUCUGUGCCCAUUCCAGUUAAAGUUGGCUUUGCAUAUGAGUUCUUAGAGUUCUCAGUUUGUUGCAUAACAACUUGGAAGCAAUGGCAGGCCCUUGAGCUGCCAGGUGGCAAGAAGUUAAGAUUGAGUUCAAUCCAUAUGGUUUUGGAUUUGUCAUUAUCUUUGUCUUGUGAUUAUGGUUUGACAAAUUCAUAUGGGUAGGAACUCAUACACCAUAUAAAUCUAAGUGUCAUAAGGUUUCUCUCCGAUUCAUGAAAAUGAUGGUGAGGAAACGCUUUCACUAAGUAGAUUUUACGAAGAUAUCAAUUGUGUUAUUUGCAUUUUCAAAAGUCGUUAGUGGAGCGCGUGUGGUUAACCGGCACACUAACAUGGACUUGUGAGAAAUGGCAAAUGCCUAAGCAAUUGAGACCAUGAUUACGGUAUCCCUUUUCAUGGUUCUUGAAAUUGCUUAGACACACAGGUGAGCUAUCUACGGAAAGGGUGUAUGAAUCUAAAUUUCAGACUGUCCAGCUGAUUUCUGAGUACAUGUCAAAGCUAGUGGGAGCAUAAGUGUUAUGCUAAUAAUCAUCAUGUUAGUGGGAGCAUGAUAAUUAUGAUAAGUAUUGCAAGUUAGCAAUGUUAAUUAUAGAAAACAAAAGUUUCAAUUGGGAAAAAGUUGUUUUGCUAUAAUUAAGGGAGAGGAAAUUAUGCUUCAUCUCAAAUCUAUAAGCUUAGAUCGUGAGGUUUUAAUCAUUUAGUCAAGGAUAUAUAUGAAUUUCAUGUUGGAAUGGCUCAACAUAAGGAAAUUCUGUAUAUGGGUCCAUUAUUUGCGUUCUAAAAUUCGAUUAUGAUUACGGCAUCCCUUUUCAUAAUCUGAAUUAUGAGAACUUGGCAAAUUGAAAUGGAAAUAUUAUAGCAAAAGACUGGUUUAGUCUUUAUGUAAGACAUCAUGAAUCGUGUCCCAUAUGCUUCGGAUAUAGGAUCGAUUACAUGUGCUAUAUUCAUCCGUUCUAAAAUUUUCCAAAUGCCUGGGGCAUUAAGAAGGGAAAAGGUUUAGAACUGGAUAUGACUAAAAGGAUUAAACAAUUGUCGAGGACAAUCUAAGGUUUACCAAAGAUUGGUUACUCAAGGACAAUUGGAAGUAUAGUGAUAAUUCUGGAAGGACCAUAUUGACAUAAUCUGUAAGGAGGCAACUCUUGUUCAGAAGUGAUAGUCAAAAUGGAAUCUGGAAAUGUUUCAAAGUUAGAAUUUUCAAUCUGUGUAAGAUUAAGGAAACUUAAUGCAAGAAGGAUAUUUCCAAGGAGUUGAUCUCCUUUGGAAUACUCUGUAAUGAUUGUUGCCAAGUCUUUGUGACUUUGUGCAUAAUCAUUACAAGAGGAUCAAUGCAUAUAAGUUUAGAAUCUAACAGAUUUCAGUAAAUGGCAUGAAUUUGGAAUUCUUGCAUUUGCAGUAAGGAUUUGGGAGUGUGAAAAGAGAAUCAUUGAAGUUAUGUUCAAUUGAUCUAGUUCACAAAGUAAAGAUCAUAGACAAACAUAGUAUGCAUACUUGGUGUGUGGCAUGACUAGUGUUUAAGAAAACAUAGUGUACAUGCUUGGAGCAUGGGACAACUAUUGUUUUAAAUUCAAGAAUAAAGUUGAUAGCUGAAACAGUAUACAAUGAAUAAUGUGUAAUCAUAUGGUGAUAAAUAAAAGGUGUUUUAUUUAUGUUCAAAGGGUUGAUACCAUAUUGGAUUCAAUUAUUAUUGUGUUUCAUUUUGCAUGUUUUGACUUCCCGAAUAAACUGGGUUAUUCUUCCGGAAUGACUAAGUUAUUCAAACCAUCCACAGUCGGUCAUAUGUUGGAAGUAGAUAUGAAUUAAGACUGUCAUGGGUUGGCUUGUAGAGGUCUAAGGUGUUGGACAAAGGGCUACAACACUCAUGAGUGCUCAUAAGUUCUGAGUAUUGGAUUCAACCCGCGCUCAUUGGAAUCACUUCAUGGAUUUUAUCACGAGUGAUCAUGAGACGAUAAUAUCUUAUAUUCUUCAAACCUAGAGAUAUGAGUUGUUACUAUGAGUUGAUAGUACAUUGAUUGCACGAAAACGCAUUUGGUAACUCGGUGCUAUAAAACGUGCCUUUGUGUAUGAUUCAACAAGUAGUAGAACAAGCCAUAUGAGUCGAAGUUUAUCCGUUCCUUUUACCUUCGGGAUAAAAGCGAUAUCUGUGGGCCCCUCGAUGAUUUGAUGAUGACAAAUGGAAGUGCUCGGCCGGGCCAGGACUGAUUUGAUUUGUUCAAUUAGUCAGUCGUCAUAAAUCGGAAAUCGGGAAACAACAAAUGGACAGAGAGAAUGAUUAUAAUCCAUGUCUCAGUCCAUAUGAUAUCUAGAAUGGAGGAAUAUAUGAUCCCUUAUCUAAUGGACAAGUCACUGACAAAGGUCAGAGUUCAUCUACAAGGUCAGAGUUCGACAGAAGCUUUUGAGAGCUACGAUUGCCGGUUGGUUCCUGAAGUCAUACGCAAUAAUAGUUUUAGACUUAUCCAAGUGGGAGACUGUUGGAUUAAUGUCUAAGUCCAUAACUAUAUUUGGUAAGACUUGACCCGACCCGGCAUGGUCCAUUUGGGUUGCAUACCAUCAUGCACUUGGAUGAGAGAAAUAAGACACUUAUGGUUAUUAAUAUAUUAUAAGUUCUAGUAUAUUAAUAAUAAGAAUGAUAAGAUUAUUUAAUUAGUAUUGAUCAAGAAUUAAUCUAGGAUUAAUUAAGUGAUUAAAAGAAGACUAAUUAAAUAUAUGGAUUGAUUGUGUAAAUCAUCCAUACUUGUAUAGUGGACUAAUGCUCCAUGGAUAAUCAAGUUGGGCUAAAAACCUAUAGGAUGGUCCAUGGAUGCUCCAUGGUGUAUUUGAACCCAUGGAUCCAAGGAAAUGGAAAGUCAUGACAAUUAGGGUUUGCCCUAAUUGUAACACUAUAUAAAGAUCUUAUUCUUGACAAAAUUGGCAACUAGAAUCACACUAGUGUGUGAAGUGAAAGGGCUAGCCGAUUUUGAUGAGUGUAGAAUUCUCUCAAGUCAUUCCAAGUGUUUUGAUGAUUGUGAUUCCAUUUGAGGUGUCACACUUGGGGCACUAGGCAC